GACCCAGCGACGCCGCGUGCGGGAUGAAGGCCUUCGGGUUGUAAACCGCUUUCAGUAGGGAAGAAGCGAAAGUGACGGUACCUACAGAAGAAGCACCGGCUAACUAUGUGCCAGCAGCCGCGGUAAUACAUAGGGUGCAAGCGUUGUCCGGAAUUAUUGGGCGUAAAGAGCUCGUAGGUGGUUUGAUACGUCGGGUGUGAAAUUCAGGGGCUCAACCCCUGACCUGCAUUCGAUACGGUCAAGCUAGAGUUUGGUAGGGGAGACUGGAAUUCCUGGUGUAGCGGUGGAAUGCGCAGAUAUCAGGAGGAACACCGAUGGCGAAGGCAGGUCUCUGGGCCAAUACUGACACUGAGGAGCGAAAGCGUGGGGAGCGAACAGGAUUAGAUACCCUGGUAGUCCACGCCGUAAACGGUGGGCGCUAGUUGGGCGAACCUUCCACGGUUUGUGCGACGCAGCUAACGCAUUAAGCGCCCCGCCUGGGGAGUACGAUCGCAAGAUUAAAACUCAAAGGAAUUGACGGGGCCCCGCACAAGCAGCGGAGCAUGCGGCUUAAUUCGACGCAACGCGAAGAACCUUACCAAGGCUUGACAUAUACAGGAAUAUGGCAGAAAUGUCAUAGCCGCAAGGUCUGUAUACAGGUGGUGCAUGGUUGUCGUCAGCUCGUGUCGUGAGAUGUUGGGUUAAGUCCCGCAACGAGCGCAACCCUCGUUCUGUGUUGCCAGCAUUUAGUUGGGGACUCACAGGAGACUGCCGGGGUUAACUCGGAGGAAGGU
This 773-nucleotide ribosomal RNA is filed under the name uncultured bacterium. RNAcentral describes it as "bacterial SSU rRNA". It matches the Rfam family "Bacterial small subunit ribosomal RNA", at positions 385 to 1174 of the family's 1533-position model. The record is from RNAcentral.